RNAcentral lists this ribosomal RNA (406 nucleotides) under uncultured Glomeromycotina. RNAcentral's name for it is "SSU rRNA". It matches the Rfam family "Eukaryotic small subunit ribosomal RNA", at positions 688 to 1092 of the family's 1831-position model. Lineage: Eukaryota; Fungi; Glomeromycota. The record is from RNAcentral.
GUUGGUUUCUCCCUUCUGACGAACCAUGAUGUCAUUUAUUUGGUGUUGUGGGGAAUCAGGACUGUUACUUUGAAAAAAUUAGAGUGUUUAAAGCAGGCUCACGCUUGAAUACAUUAGCAUGGAAUAAUGAAAUAGGACGUUUGAUUCUAUUUUGUUGGUUUCUAGGAUCGACGUAAUGAUUAAUAGGGAUAGUUGGGGGCAUUAGUAUUCAAUUGUCAGAGGUGAAAUUCUUGGAUUUAUUGAAGACUAACUACUGCGAAAGCAUUUGCCAAGGAUGUUUUCAUUAAUCAAGAACGAAAGUUAGGGGAUCGAAGACGAUCAGAUACCGUCGUAGUCUUAACCAUAAACUAUGCCGACUAGGGAUCGGAUGAUGUUAAUUCUUUAAUGACUCAUUCGGCGCCUUACG